UGAGUAAUGCAUCGGAACGUGCCCAAUCGUGGGGGAUAACGCAGCGAAAGCUGUGCUAAUACCGCAUACGAUCUACGGAUGAAAGCGGGGGACCUUCGGGCCUCGCGCGAUUGGAGCGGCCGAUGUUAGAUUAGGUAGUUGGUGGGGUAACGGCCUACCAAGCCUACGAUCUAUAGCUGGUUUUAGAGGAUGAUCAGCAACACUGGGACUGAGACACGGCCCAGACUCCUACGGGAGGCAGCAGUGGGGAAUCUUAGACAAUGGGGGCAACCCUGAUCUAGCCAUGCCGCGUGAGUGAUGAAGGCCUUAGGGUCGUAAAGCUCUUUCGCCUGUGGAUGAUAAUGACAGUAGCAGGUAAAGAAACCCCGGCUAACUCCGUGCCAGCAGCCGCGGUAAUACGGAGGGGGUUAGCGUUGUUCGGAAUUACUGGGCGUAAAGCGCGCGUAGGCGGAUUAGAAAGUUGGGGGUGAAAUCCCGGGGCUCAACCUCGGAACUGCCUCCAAAACUGCUAGUCUAGAGUUCGAGAGAGGUGAGUGGAAUUCCGAGUGUAGAGGUGAAAUU
RNAcentral lists this ribosomal RNA (561 nucleotides) under proteobacterium MS-F-10. RNAcentral describes it as "bacterial SSU rRNA". It matches the Rfam family "Bacterial small subunit ribosomal RNA", at positions 107 to 688 of the family's 1533-position model. The record is from RNAcentral. Lineage: Bacteria; Pseudomonadati; Pseudomonadota.